UGGGGAAUAUUGGACAAUGGGGGAAACCCUGAUCCAGCGACGCCGCGUGUGUGAAGAAGGCCUGCGGGUUGUAAAGCACUUUUAGUGGGGAUGAAAAAUUCAGGGCUAAUAUCCCUGGGUCUUGACCUAACCCAAAGAAAAAGCACCGGCUAACUCUGUGCCAGCAGCCGCGGUAAUACAGAGGGUGCGAGCGUUAAUCGGAAUUACUGGGCGUAAAGCGUGCGUAGACGGUUAGAUAAGUCGGGUGUGAAAGCCCCGGGCUCAACCUGGGAAUUGCAUUCGAGACUGUUUAGCUAGGGUACGGAAGAGGGAAGCGGAAUUUCAGGUGUAGCGGUGAAAUGCGUAGAUAUCUGAAGGAACACCAGUGGCGAAAGCGGCUUCCUGGUCCAGUACCGACGUUCAGGCACGAAAGCGUGGGGAGCAAACAGGAUUAGAUACCCUGGUAGUCCACGCCAUAAACGAUGAGAACUAGACGUUGGGGGGGUAAGCCCCUCAGUGUCGCAGCUAACGCGCUAAGUUCUCCGCCUGGGGAGUACGGCCGCAAGGU
RNAcentral lists this ribosomal RNA (547 nucleotides) under uncultured bacterium. RNAcentral describes it as "bacterial SSU rRNA". It matches the Rfam family "Bacterial small subunit ribosomal RNA", at positions 355 to 894 of the family's 1533-position model. The record is from RNAcentral.